This 1545-nucleotide ribosomal RNA is filed under the name uncultured bacterium. RNAcentral describes it as "bacterial SSU rRNA". It matches the Rfam family "Bacterial small subunit ribosomal RNA". The record is from RNAcentral.
AGAGUUUGAUCAUGGCUCAGAACGAACGCUGGCGGCAGGCCUAACACAUGCAAGUCGAGCGCCCCCUUCGGAGGACAGAGGACGGAAUACAGGGAUCAGAAUGUUCUGUGCGUGUUUCACGCGCGGGUGCGCGUUCUGAUCCCCGUAUUCUGAUUUCUGUCUUCCGAUGGGGGAGCGGCGGACGGGUGAGUAACGCGUGGGAAUUUUCCUCAAGGUAGGGAACAACUCAGGGAAACUUGGGCUAAUACCCUAUGAUGCAGAGAUGCCAAAGAUUUAUCGCCUUGGGAUAAGCCCGCGUCAGAUUAGGUAGUUGGUGGGGUAACGGCCUACCAAGCCUUCGAUCUGUAGCUGGUCUGAGAGGACGAUCAGCCACAUUGGGACUGAGACACGGCCCAAACUCCUACGGGAGGCAGCAGUGGGGAAUCUUGCGCAAUGGGCGAAAGCCUGACGCAGCCAUGCCGCGUGAAUGAUGAAGGUCUUAGGAUUGUAAGGUUCUUUCGCUCGUGACGAUGAUGACGGUAACGAGAGAAGAAGCCCCGGCUAACUUCGUGCCAGCAGCCGCGGUAAUACGAAGGGGGCUAGCGUUGUUCGGAAUUACUGGGCGUAAAGCGCGCGUAGGCGGUUUUGCAAGCCAGAGGUGAAAUGCCUGAGCUUAACUUAGGAAUUGCCUUUGGGACUGCGAGGCUUUGAGGACGGAAGAGGUGAGUGGAAUUCCCAGUGUAGAGGUGAAAUUCGUAGAUAUUGGGAAGAACACCGGUGGCGAAGGCGGCUCACUGGUCCGUUUCUGACGCUGCAGCGCGAAAGCGUGGGGAUCAAACAGGAUUAGAUACCCUGGUAGUCCACGCUGUAAACGAUGAGUGNUAGGCGUCGGCAGGCUUGCCUGUCGGUGCCGCAGCUAACGCGUGAAGCACUCCGCCUGGGGAGUACGGUCGCAAGAUUAAAACUCAAAGGAAUUGACGGGGGCCCGCACAAGCGGUGGAGCAUGUGGUUUAAUUCGACGCAACGCGCAGAACCUUACCAGCCCUUGACAUGCCGUGCUACGCGCAGAGAUGCGCGGUUCCAGCAAUGGACGCGGACACAGGUGCUGCAUGGCUGUCGUCAGCUCGUGUCGUGAGAUGUUGGGUUAAGUCCCGCAACGAGCGCAACCCUUGCCUUCAGUUGCCAUCAUUUGGUUGGGCACUCUGGAGGGACUGCCGGCGGUAAGCCGGAGGAAGGUGGGGAUGACGUCAAGUCCUCAUGGCCCUUACGGGCUGGGCUACACACGUGCUACAAUGGUGGCGACAGAGGGCGCAGGCGAGAGCGCAAGCUUUAGCAAAUCCUCAAAAGCCAUCUCAGUUCAGAUUGCGCUCUGCAACUCGGGCGCAUGAAGGUGGAAUCGCUAGUAAUCGCAGAACAGCAGGCUGCGGUGAAUACGUUCCCGGGCCUUGUACACACCGCCCGUCACACCAUGGGAGUUGGUUUUACCUGAAGACGGUGCGCUAACCGCAAGGGGGCAGCCGGCCACGGUAAGGUCAGCGACUGGGGUGAAGUCGUAACAAGGUAACC